This is a long non-coding RNA of Arachis stenosperma, 1412 nucleotides long. RefSeq lists it as uncharacterized. NCBI's taxonomy places the organism in Eukaryota, Viridiplantae, Streptophyta, Magnoliopsida, Fabales, Fabaceae. The record is from RefSeq and is a predicted model, not a curated record. The transcript is spliced from 8 exons.
CAUUCAGCCCUCACUCACUCACCCCCUUCCCCCAACACCCCCUGUUCAUGAAUCACUAUCUCUGAACUCAAGCAAAGUUCAAAAUCACCUAACCAAAACCCUAGGUUCUCCCUGCAACGAUUCUGAGACAGUGUUGCCGCCGUCUGUGCUGUCGGUGCCUCUGCGUCCUCUCUUGUAGCCCAGGCCCUCUCUUGUAGCUUGGCGUCCUCCUUCCCGCUGUCCCCGUUCUCCCUGGCUUCUCUGUUCGAGGUUGGAGUAGCUUGCUGUCGUGUCGCCACCGUGUCACUGGUCACCGGUCGCCGUUCGUGUCUCCACCGAAGGUUAGUGGCUAGAAGAUUUUGAAUCUUUUGCCAUCGCUCCGAGAUCUCUGAUGGCUUGUCAAGGGGAAAGAAACUGGAAAAAAUGGAAAAUUUGGUAAAAACAGUGGGUAAAUGAGCUGUGGAAAACAAAUAUGAGACAUCAAGAUUCGUCUCAGGUUCUGAACAAAGAUAUUAUAUAUCAUUUUGUUCUCUGUCUUAUGUAUUGCAGAAUGGAGGAAUUGAGGAAAUGGUUUCUUUCUAUGGAAUCUGCACUCUUUCACCACUGAUUUUGUAAUCAAACUGCUGAAGCUCAUGUAGUAUCUACUUACACGUCAUGGUUUUGUAUUUCAAGUAUGGUAUUUACUUAUCAUUUACAUUGCUUAUGAGUGCACAUCGGGCCAUCAUGGAAGAAUUUAACCUUCCUUGCAAGGCUGUAAGCAAUGCAAAGUUUGAGGUUGAAAGAAAAAUUGGAACAAAUUGCACGUUCUAUUGGUCAUAACCUGUCUUUAUCCACUACUCCAUAUCAUUCUUUUAAAGCUACAUAGUUUGAGAUACACAAGUGCUUUUCCAAGGAUAAUGUUGGGGCGCAAAAAUGUCUUGGAUGAGGCUCGAUUUUAGUAUCAAACCAAUGAAGCAAAUCAACUGCAGUUGUUUGAGAAUAGUGAGUUUUCGCCUUCAUUUUGUCAUGGAAUAAUGGAAGUAGCUACUGACCCUGACUAUAGGUUCGAUCUAGCCAUCCAGCCUGGGAGAUUAGAGGUUGCAAAGAGAAUUGCCAUGGAAGUGCAGAUUGAGUCUAAAUGGAAGCAGUUGGGAGAAUUAUCCAUGUCUACUGGAAAGAGGACAAGAGUUGUUUGUGAAGCAAUUGUUGAAGCUGGAUACUAUUAAGGUUGAAGGUGAAACGAAAUUGCAGAGAAAAAUUGAGGAUUAAGUUACAACUACAAUUGUUAGCUUUAUAUGUUCGGAUUAAGUUAGAAUUUUUUGAAUUUACAUUUUAUAGAUUACGACUAUGUAAAACUUGUAGAAUUCAACUUUUAAAAUAUAUUGUUUCUAAUUUGUAAAACUUGUGCGAUUGAGUUUAAAUUUGUUGAAAUAUAAUGCCAUUUAUUAUUUUGU